This 76-nucleotide transfer RNA is filed under the name Robiginitomaculum sp. RNAcentral's name for it is "tRNA-Met". It matches the Rfam family "tRNA". Rfam says of the family: Transfer RNA (tRNA) molecules are approximately 80 nucleotides in length. Their secondary structure includes four short double-helical elements and three loops (D, anti-codon, and T loops). Lineage: Bacteria; Pseudomonadati; Pseudomonadota; Alphaproteobacteria; Maricaulales; Robiginitomaculaceae. The record is from RNAcentral.
UGCGGGGUGGAGCAGAGGUCAGCUCACUUGGCUCAUAACCAAGAGGUCGCAGGUUCGAAUCCUGCCCCCGCAACCA